GACAGAGGGUGCAAACGUUGUUCGGAAUUACUGGGCGUAAAGCGCGUGUAGGCGGCCCUGCAAGUCGGGUGUGAAAUCCCACGGCUCAGCCGUGGAAGUGCAUUCGAAACUGCAGGGCUAGAGUCCUGGAGAGGAAGGUGGAAUGCUUGGUGUAGAGGUGAAAUUCGUAGAUAUCAAGCGGAACACCGGUGGCGAAGGCGGCCUUCUGGAUAGUGACUGACGCUGAGACGCGAAAGCGUGGGGAGCAAACAGG
RNAcentral lists this ribosomal RNA (253 nucleotides) under uncultured bacterium. RNAcentral describes it as "partial 16S ribosomal RNA". It matches the Rfam family "Bacterial small subunit ribosomal RNA", at positions 524 to 776 of the family's 1533-position model. The record is from RNAcentral.